GGGGGUGUCCUGGCUUCGACGGGGGUAGUGAGAUGGCUUGAUGCAUGCCGAGGGGGCAGCUUUCCUCGUUAAUCCAGCUAAGGCGUAAGCCCCGAACCCACUUGUGCUCGUGCUCGUCGGUGUAGGGUCAUUAUCACGGGAUCGCCAAAGACUGCCGCCUGUCGGUCCUAGGUCAAAUCAAGCAGGCUGGUUUCGCGGUGCGCUUUGCUCAUCGUGCUUGUCGCGGAACGAGAUGGAACGUUGAGCUACGCAUGUAGAUUCAGGCGUUGAACACCUUCGGACGCGGGUUCGACUCCCGCCACCUCCACCA
RNAcentral lists this transfer-messenger RNA (310 nucleotides) under Rhodanobacter sp. SCN 68-63. It matches the Rfam family "transfer-messenger RNA". From Rfam's summary of the family: Bacterial tmRNA, also known as 10Sa RNA or SsrA, is named for its dual tRNA and mRNA-like properties. Its role is to liberate the mRNA from a stalled ribosome. The record is from RNAcentral. Lineage: Bacteria; Pseudomonadati; Pseudomonadota; Gammaproteobacteria; Lysobacterales; Rhodanobacteraceae.